Molecule: ribosomal RNA, 384 nt
Filed under: Triticum aestivum (bread wheat)
Lineage: Eukaryota; Viridiplantae; Streptophyta; Magnoliopsida; Poales; Poaceae
Description: partial small subunit ribosomal RNA
Source: RNAcentral
AUGACCUUAAUAGAUUUCACAGAGCUGAGCGAUGAUAACAUUAUUGACUUGAGCAGCGAUGAGGAGACUGUUCAAGAGGAUCAGAUUGCAACUCAACACCGGGCGAUGUUGCUUGAUAAGCAGGGUGUGUUUUUCCUUGCUGGUGAAGGAAGCCAAGGGGUGCAUGCCGUGUUUGUUGCAGCUGGUGAAGGAAGUCAAGAUGACCAUGCCGUGUUUGUUGCAGCCAAUGAAGGAAGUCAAGAUAGGCAUGCUGUGUUUGUUGCAGCUAGUCAAGGAAGGCAAGAGGCUUCUGAGCCCGGACAUGCUUUUGAAGCUACCGCAUCGUCCAUGAUUAUGGAGGAGGCACCUCUUGUUGCAGCUAGUCAAGGAAGUCAAGAUGUGUAG